UUGGCAAGUCUUUAUGCAUAGCUCCGCCCAUUCAGGCAUUUAGAGGGCUCCCUUGCCUGGGGUCCUCUGUUGUUUGGCGCAUCAGGCACAUAGAGGGGCCCCCCUGCCUGGGGUCCUACUCUGUAGAUCGGCACAUUAGGCACUUGGAGAGGCACCCUGGGUGGGGUCCUGCUCUGUGGUUCAGUGCAUCAGGUGUUUGAUGGGCCAGCCUCUCUAUUGAUCAGCUGCUGAUGCUGGCAUGUGGAGAGAGAGAUGCUAUGGUGAUGGCUUCAUCCCCUAUGUGUGACUCAGCAGUAUGGCCUUGCUUCCAUGGCUGCCUGGCUUUCUUCCACAGGCAUUUCCCACCACCGUCUCCAUGCUCACAUCUCCUCGCUGUGUCUUGCACAGUCAACAGCAGCCCUCGCCCUGGGGUCGCUCCACAAUCCCCAAGCUCCAGCUCCCAGCCGAUGUGCCUUCCAGGGGACCUGCGUCCCUGUCUGGGGUUCAAGCCCCCACAGAGAUGAUGCUCCUCUUUGCCUUCCUCCUCUUCAUGGGAUGGCCACUGGGCUUCGUUGAGCCCUUCCUGGUUGCAGGUCAUGAGGCAUCUGAUCUUCAUCCAAAGACAGAUUACUGAGAUGAGCUUCAGAAACAAACUUAGGGUGUUCUUCAAGAAUUCAAUUAAAUUUUACAUUAACAUCACAUAACAGCAAAGAACUAUCUAAGAGAUGAGUCUUACUAGAUGCAGACCUCCAUUAACAAACAGGUAUUUAACAUUUCGAAAUAUCUUUUUUUUCCUUAAAGUUACCCUUAUUUUUAUUAAAUAUAACCAAAUUAAGGCUAGUUUGUUUGCAAAAUAGGUCUGUUUUUACUGAUUUUGGUCUAAUGAUUUUUAUAACCAUAAUUGAUUAUAGGCUUUUUAUUUUGCUGAAACAUUUAUAGAGUCUCAGACUGAACUUUUAAAAUAAAACAGGGCUGGGAAUCUCACACCAAAGGCUUAUCACAGAUUUUGCCUAACAAAUCUAGGUGAAUUUUUCCCUUUUUAAGGUCUCAAAAAUUUCUUGAGAUUUUUGUAUCCGUGAGAUAACCUUCCUAACUCAUUUGAUAAACUUACUGGGAACCUAAGAACUUCCAAUUUUUGGAGGAGUCAGAUAGAAAAUAUAAUUCUUUUGUUUAUAACGUUUAAUUUUACCAAAGUAUUGUCAUAAUUAGUUUGAGAGGAAGAUUUCCCCUACUCCCUGAAAACAUAAGAUUCAACCCCAUAAUUUUUCAGAUAGAAACCAUAAAAGUUAUAAGCAUAUUCACUGGUUCAUUCAGUCCUUUUGCUAACUUUUGUGAAGUUAUCAGGUUUUCCAUUAAAAUACCAGGACAUAUCAGAAUGUUAAAAACUCCGUAUAAUUUUUAGGAUAUCUGUAUUAGUAAUUUUACCCUACAUUAUAAUAUGAGCAGAU
Molecule: long non-coding RNA, 1427 nt
Filed under: Capra hircus (goat)
Lineage: Eukaryota; Metazoa; Chordata; Mammalia; Artiodactyla; Bovidae
Description: lncRNA (ENSCHIG00000001613.1)
Source: RNAcentral